UAUAGAAAAUAGCAUGGCAUUUUCCAUAUCAGUCCUAGAAGCAGCCCGAGACUCCCAUUUCAGUGAGAGGAAUUUAACCAGGGGUACUGGUAUGAGUCGACGGACCGAUAUGGAAAAGGUUGUGAAAUAAUCUAUUUAUAAGAUGUUUAGCCUUUGAAGUUAAAACGCGUAAAUAGGAAAAACGAUCCGACACUUAAAUAAAAGCAUUGUAUUUAUUUCAUUUGAUCUUUUUUUUUUUAUUAAUUUUCGAAUUUUAUAGAGAUACAAAUAUUCCCGUAACCACGGUCCUCUGGUAUCGUUCGCCCCUCUUUUAUAAAAAAGGAAUUAACUUAAUAUGACGUUGUUUUUUUACACUGAUUACCAAUGAGGGUCUUGCACGGUCUGAAUCAAUUUAAGAAGAUGCCUGCCACCAUUUUGUAUUGUAGAAUAGCAGAACGAAGCAUUCAGUCUAGAUUAUUAAUAAUAUUUACAAAUUUUUAUAGAAAAACGUUAUUC
This 495-nucleotide long non-coding RNA is filed under the name Mytilus galloprovincialis (Mediterranean mussel). Lineage: Eukaryota; Metazoa; Mollusca; Bivalvia; Mytilida; Mytilidae. The record is from RNAcentral.